Long non-coding RNA from Colias croceus (clouded yellow), 756 nucleotides. RefSeq lists it as uncharacterized. The record is from RefSeq and is a predicted model, not a curated record. Lineage: Eukaryota; Metazoa; Arthropoda; Insecta; Lepidoptera; Pieridae. The transcript is spliced from 3 exons.
AAAAAAAUAGACAAAACUUCGGAAUUCAUUCGCUCUUGAUUCGCUCAUUGGACAUUGUAGGCAAUCGUAUAGUAAUCAUGUUUUGAAGGCUCCCGGUACCAAAAUAAAGUAAGAUUAUUUUGUGAACUCAACAAAACGUACCCAUAAUAGGUUGUUAAUAUAAAAAUGGCGGUGUCCUCGUAAUAAUAUCUAAAAUUUGGAUAAAUCAAAUUGAAAAAUUGCGAAAGAUAAGUAAUAUGCAUUAAAGAAUGCAUGAAAGAGGCAUGAAAGAGCAAUUGAAAUAGCAAGCAGAACAUUGUGCAGAGUGCGCGAAGCUCCCUGACCCUGAAGUUACAAAGACAAAGUUGUGUUGAUUGCCGGCUUGCCCAAACAUUGAACAAGGAAGUACCGGCUUGGGAGAUGUUCAUGUGGUAGUGAGAACUUCAAGUUGGGGGAGGCGCCACCAUGUCUACACUUAAAAUAUUCAUAUUUGUAUCAUACAUCUGAAAAUGUAAAAAUAUAGUACCUACAUUGUUUUCAUUUUAAGUUUAAUAAAAAUGAAAUUAAAAGUAUACAUAAGUACUGCAAGUUUUUAAAUGAUUUAUCAACUCUUUAUUAUGCAAAUACAAUAAUUGAUUUAAAUUUAAAAUAAAAAUAUAAAUACCAUUAAACUAUUAGUGUAGGAAUUAUUCAUUGUGAUGUAAAUAUAAAGUUUUUGUUUAUUGCAUUUUAAGUUUUAAAGGCUGGUAUUAUAAAUAAAAAUUUAAUUUUUUUUAA